Molecule: long non-coding RNA, 755 nt
Organism: Fopius arisanus
Lineage: Eukaryota; Metazoa; Arthropoda; Insecta; Hymenoptera; Braconidae
Exons: 4
Source: RefSeq, a predicted model, not a curated record
AGACGCGGUUUUUUCAUUCGAAAGAAAAUAAAUUGGAAUAAUGGGUUGAGUGCGGGAACAAGGGAAGGGAAAACAGAAGAAAAAUUGUUUGUGAUAAUUGAAUAGGUAAAAUAAUAAAUUGUUUUUGUUAGAGGGGAAGUCAUUGAAAUCGGGGGAGAUGUCCUGGAGAUCAUGGAGAUGAUCUCCAGAGAUUCUGGUGGGUUUUUUCAUUUUGGGCAGGCAGUUUUGCACCUAGAGUCAGUGUCGAUGAUUUUUUUCGGGGGUUUUUUAUUUGUGAGUGAGGUUAUUGCAUAAUUUUCAACAGAUAUUUUCAUCCCCGACUACGAAUAUUCAUACAGGAUUUUGGUAGCCAAGGAGCUAAAUACGUCGGUGUCAGCACCCGGAGCUUCAAAAGGAGGAGUCGCACCACAACUUUUCCAUUUUCAUCAUCGAGAAAUCCCUUCCGACGCAGAAAUCAUCGAAUGAAGCAAGUGAAUCCCGGGAGAGACCGAGGGUUCAGCUCGAAGGUGAGGAUGGAAGAGGUCACUAAUGGUUGCCGGAAUCGGACAUGAACAAAGGAUGUAAAGUCAACUGAGAAAAAGUUUGUUCCGGAAGAGCUAGUAUCCGAAAUAAAAAAGAGAAAGAAAAUAGUGAAGAAUCAUUAGUAACAGCUUUUGUCUCUUAUCACUCGGAAUCUAACUUGUUCACUCGGAGCAAAAGGCAAUGCACCUUGAAACAUUCAAAUUAGAAGGAUAAAUCUCACACGAGAAAACGAG